RNAcentral lists this ribosomal RNA (447 nucleotides) under uncultured bacterium. RNAcentral's name for it is "partial 16S ribosomal RNA". It matches the Rfam family "Bacterial small subunit ribosomal RNA", at positions 29 to 523 of the family's 1533-position model. The record is from RNAcentral.
AGCGAACGCUGGCGGCAGGCUUAACACAUGCAAGUCGAACGCCCCGCAAGGGGAGUGGCAGACGGGUGAGUAACACGUGGGAACGUACCCUUUGGUUCGGAAUAACUUGGGGAAACUCAAGCUAAUACCGGAUAAGCCCUUAUGGGGAAAGGUUUACUGCCGAAGGAUCGGCCCGCGUCUGAUUAGCCAGUUGGUGAGGUAAUGGCUCAGCAAGGCGACGAUCAGUAGCUGGUCUGAGAGGAUGAUCAGCCACACUGGGACUGAGACACGGCCCAGACUCCUACGGGAGGCAGCAGUGGGGAAUAUUGGACAAUGGGGGCAACACUGAUCCAGCCAUGCCGCGUGAGUGAUGAAGGCCUUAGGGUUGUAAAGCUCUUUUACCCGGGACGAUAAUGACUGUACCGGGAGAAUAAGCCCCGGCUAACUUCGUGCCAGCCGCCGCAGUAA